AGUGAACGCUGGCGGUAGGCCUAACACAUGCAAGUCGAACGGCAGCACAGUAAGAGCUUGCUCUUACGGGUGGCGAGUGGCGGACGGGUGAGGAAUACAUCGGAAUCUACUUUUUCGUGGGGGAUAACGUAGGGAAACUUACGCUAAUACCGCAUACGACCUACGGGUGAAAGCAGGGGAUCUUCGGACCUUGCGCGAUUGAAUGAGCCGAUGUCGGAUUAGCUAGUUGGCGGGGUAAAGGCCCACCAAGGCGACGAUCCGUAGCUGGUCUGAGAGGAUGAUCAGGCACACUGGAACUUAGACACGGUCCAGACUCCUACGGGAGGCAGCAGUGGGGAAUAUUGGACAAUGGGCGCAAGCCUGAUCCAGCCAUACCGCGUGGGUGAAGAAGGCCUUCGGGUUGUAAAGCCCUUUUGUUGGGAAAGAAAAGCAGCAGGUUAAUACCCCGCUGUUCUGACGGUACCCAAAGAAUAAGCACCGGCUAACUUCGUG
Molecule: ribosomal RNA, 492 nt
Filed under: uncultured bacterium
Lineage: Bacteria
Description: partial 16S ribosomal RNA
Rfam family: Bacterial small subunit ribosomal RNA
Source: RNAcentral